Molecule: small RNA, 101 nt
Filed under: Flavobacterium terrae
Lineage: Bacteria; Pseudomonadati; Bacteroidota; Flavobacteriia; Flavobacteriales; Flavobacteriaceae
Description: Flavo-1 RNA
Rfam family: Flavo-1 RNA
Source: Rfam by way of RNAcentral
UUAUCGCGUGAAGGAUAGAAGCGAUAUCCUUUUUACGUCAGCUCGAGUAGCGAAGCGUAUCGAGAACAAGUAAAAAGAUAAAGCGGAUAGCCUAACCUAAA